UCCUGGUGCGAGUCAGGUCCUUGGUGCGCGGGUAGUAGGAUGACAUUUCCCCUCUCUUCUGUGGACCGGCAGGUCAACGUCUACUGUAACAUUCACCGAGGCCAACAACAGAGCACCAAGGUUUUCCACAUACCUCUCCGUCCCAGCAGUGUCGUCGAGUUGUUGCAAAGGUCAGCGGCGCUUCAUCUUCAACAGGGUUCUGAUUUUCAUCUCUCCACCGUCCCUCACCAGCUGCACAAAUACAGCCCAGUUUGUGGCAGAAGGGAAGGGCUUCCACUUCAAUAUCUCUCUCACUCACUCUCUCACACACACACACACAUAAAUAAAAAAUGCUUUCCCUACCUAUGAAGGAGUUGUUGCAGUGAAACAGGCCACGGGAUCCAGCAAUACAGGAAUAUGAAAUGUCUGGUAUCGGAGACUCGGCGAGGGAUUCUAACCUGGGUUCAAUGUUCCCCUGCUGUACAAGCAUAAGAGGACAAAUACACAACUUGUAGAUAAAUCACAAACACAUCCUCCAAAUCAAAUACAGAUCAACCACUGCUGCAGAGGCCGGUAUACCCAGUCUGCAUGAAUUCCCCCUACUAACCUCGUCCAUUUUGCUCAAUUUGGGGCUGAUCUCCAUUGUUUCCGUGGUCUCUGUCGAGCCGAUUUUGACUCUUCUGUCAUCGGUCAAGCCUUUCUUUAGACAGCUCCUUUCAGCCAGAGUGCCUCCUUCCUCCAUCUGUUUGUCUUGAGGAGAAAGGCUGUUGGUCUUCUGAGCCUCUUUCAGGUCAGUCAGAGUCACUCCCUGCAGGACAUUUAUACAGCUUCAUAAUAUAAUAUACAGUCAAAACUCAAUCCAAUAAAACCUGAACUUCUGUCAGCCUUUUGAUCUUUACCUGUGUUGACCUGCGGGUCUGUCUGGCAUGACGACACUUCGCUUUCCUCUGAGACUCUGCUUCCUCAUCCCUGACUGGGGUCAGAUAGGACCUGGGUGAGUGGAGAAACAAAAAUGGUAACCAUAAGGAUUUAAGUAAUAACUCUUCAAAAAAGCACUGUGAAUCAAAAGGAGAAACAAUAACGGGUAACAAAUUACAUCAAUUUGACCUGAAUAAUGAAAAUCAACAGUCAAAAUGUUUGUGCAUGUG
Long non-coding RNA from Anarrhichthys ocellatus (wolf-eel), 1127 nucleotides. RefSeq lists it as uncharacterized. The record is from RefSeq and is a predicted model, not a curated record. The transcript is spliced from 3 exons. NCBI's taxonomy places the organism in Eukaryota, Metazoa, Chordata, Actinopteri, Perciformes, Anarhichadidae.